This 462-nucleotide ribosomal RNA is filed under the name uncultured bacterium. Its description in RNAcentral is "partial 16S ribosomal RNA". It matches the Rfam family "Bacterial small subunit ribosomal RNA", at positions 28 to 506 of the family's 1533-position model. The record is from RNAcentral.
GAUGAACGCUGACAGAAUGCUUAACACAUGCAAGUCUUUGGUAAAGCUGUGCUUGCACAGCCUAGCCAAGGCGGACGGGUGAGUAACGCGUAAGGAACUUGCCCUGCAGUCAGGGAUAACAGACGGAAACGACUGAUAAGACCUGGUAAAGUCAGGCGGACUCAUGUCCAGCCUGAUGAAAAGAGAUGCUGCAGGAGAGCCUUGCGUCCUAUUAGCUUGUUGGUGGGGUAACGGCCCACCAAGGCAAUGAUAGGUAGCCGGCCUGAGAGGGUGGACGGCCACAAGGGGACUGAGAUACGGCCCUUACUCCUACGGGAGGCAGCAGUGGGGAAUAUUGGACAAUGGGGGCAACCCUGAUCCAGCAAUUCUGUGUGCACGAUGAAGGUUUUCGGAUUGUAAAGUGCUUUCAGCAGGGAAGAAAAAAAGGACGGUACCUGCAGAAGAAGCGACGGCUAAAUACGU